Long non-coding RNA from Capra hircus (goat), 2133 nucleotides. Lineage: Eukaryota; Metazoa; Chordata; Mammalia; Artiodactyla; Bovidae. The record is from Ensembl.
ACUCCAGGGGUGAUUUUGAUAUCUUCCUGUCCUUUUUCCUCCAGCUAAGCACUCUUCUCUUCAGGCUUCUGGGAGACAUAGGAUGCAGUGGGAACCUAAACCUUCGGAAACCUCCCAAAUGUUUAGAAUAAUAUUGUUAUAUACCAGAGAAGGCAAUGGCACCCCUCUCCAGUACUCUUGCCUGGAAAAUCCCAUGGACGGAGGAACCUGGUGGGCUGCAGUCCAUGGAGUCGUGAAGAGUUGGACACAGCUGAGCGACUUCACUUUCACUUUUCAGUUCCAUGCAUUGGAGAAGGAAAUGGCAACCCACUCCAGUGUUCUUGCCUGGAGAAUCCCAGGGACGGGGAGCCUGGUGGGCUGCCGUCUAUGGGGUCGCACAGAGUCAGACACGACUGAAGCGACUUAAGAAUUGUGUGUUAAUGAAAGUUAUAGUAAGCUAAUUGUCAACGAUAAUUUUUAUCAUGUCUGUUCUAUGAAUAUUUUAUUUAAUAAUUUGAGUAUCAACAGACGAGAAAAAUAUCAAAGCAAUUGUUAUGUAAUAAUUUAUCAAAAACCUACUAUGUGUUUAAGCACAAUGAUAGGGCCUAGAAAGAGUACCAAGACUAGGAUAGCAAUGAUCUUUGUUCAAACGAAUUUGUACCUGUUCCAAUUAAUUCAUCAUAAUUUAUACACAAAUUAUUUUUCAGAGCUUUCAUAGACAUCUAUUUUAGCCUUGUUAAAAUAUUUUUUAUUAUGAUGAAUUCCAUAUAUAUACAAGAGUAGUGAAAGUAUUCAGAUGGACUCUAUAGACUUGUUUACGUUCCUCUAAAAUACAUAAGCUGAUGGUUUAAUUUGCUUUGAAAAAAUUUUAUUUGAUUUUUUUCCCCAGGAUAAUUCAUAGGAAGUAUGUCAUUCUAUCAGGUUAUCUCUCCUUCUCUUAAGGUAGCUACCAUGAUGAUAUUGCCUGAAUUCAUCAUUUCAUGAAAGUUUUGCCAAAUAAUGAUAGUCCAGUUCUAUAAUUCUUCCUUCCUUGAUAAGAUCAAAUACGCUGUAGAGAAAUUUCUCUCAUCACUUAUUUGGUUACCCUGAGAUACAAUUAGUUCAUAAACAAAAAGUCAGAUAUUUGUCUCUUUCCCUUUACAGUUUGUAAAAUAUUUUGUAACAGAGUGCAGUGAUCACAGGCCUUAGCACUGUAGCCAUGCUGUGUGGUCAUUACUCCGGCAUCCCUGUUACCAGGCAUAGGUCCUGUUCAGCCAUUGGUUCAUGCCUCAGUGGGCCCCGCCCACAAGCAACUGUCCGUGAGCAACCGUUAGUGGUCCUGCCCAGUCAUUGGUCAGUGCCGUAGCGGGCCCUGCCCACUAGCAACCAACCGUCAAGAAACGAUGGUUAGUGAGGAGAUUCAGACAACAGUGGAGCAGUGGUUGUGAGGUGAAGAGUGAGGUAAGAGGUAGUUCUCGGCCUCCAUCAGGCCCUCCAGUUCAUCCAGCCUUGAACCCGUGGGUGAGCUGGGGGACCUAGAGAAUAGGCUGAGGGCUGUGUCCUGCAGGGCUCCAGAGCCCUCACCAAGGGUUGUCCAGGCCUCGAGGUGGCCGUGAUCCCUGUCUCUGUAACCUAAUAGUAGAAGUCUGCCUGGGUCGCCUUCUGUGGGACCUGGUCUCCCCACACUUUGGGCGGCCUGAGGAGCCUGAGGGGCCAGUUGGGUCCUGGAUGCCUGGCUCCUUCAGAGAUGACGGCUGGGCAGGGUCUGGUGACCUAGCCCUGAGGGAGCCGCCAGCCAAGCUCUGCUUUCUGUUAGCCAGGAUGGGGACCUCGGAGGAUGAUACUUUGUCUUGGGACCCCGUCCUUUCUUGUCAGGAUGGAGAAUAACAUUCAUAGGUGGAGAUUACAGGAAUAUUGUUGCCUGACCGUGACCUGACUUCCAGAACAAAGACUCUUGACACCAAGAGAUUUUCAACAGCUCAGCACGCCCCCCUUCCCCCCCCCCCCCACCUUUCCUAGAAAAGGGCUUUGCUGAGAGCUUUCAGAGUCAGACGGGACUGAAGCAACUUAGCAGCAGCAGCAGCAACAGGGCACAAAUCAUCCAUCUCCUGGCACAACCCUGUAAUAAAUCAUUAUUUGUUCCAAACUCCACUGUUUAAGUGUUUUUUAGCCUCA